This is a long non-coding RNA of Peromyscus maniculatus bairdii (prairie deer mouse), 879 nucleotides long. RefSeq lists it as uncharacterized. Lineage: Eukaryota; Metazoa; Chordata; Mammalia; Rodentia; Cricetidae. The record is from RefSeq and is a predicted model, not a curated record.
AUUCUUUUUUUGAACUUGACGGAAGAGCGCUGGGACCUGGUUUCCUGUCCUAGUUGGGAAAGUAGCUUUGUGCUUCUGAGACCAGCUUCAUUUGUAAACUGCAGAGUGGGCUGGGCUAUCCUCCAAGGUCCCUUGAAGAAAAUGACCGUGAGUCAUUUUCCCGGGAGAGAGCUGGGAUUUGGAAGCACAACACGCAGGUUAGCGGAGGCCUUUCUCCCAGGAUACCAGACCUCGGGUGCUGAACCUGUCUUCAGUGAAACCUCCAGUAUCUGUUACUAACGACUCCCAGUGAGUCAUGUAGUCUGUGGAGGAAACUACUGCCACAGAAGGAUGUGCACAGCAGUCCCAAGACAGCAUCCCUCCUCUGUCAAAUGUUCCCAGAGAAGUUCUGUCCGAGCCUCUGUUCUUUCAUCCCGUCUUCAUAAGCUCGUAUCAUAAGUUUCUAGAUGUUGACAUGCAGCAUUAGAGAGCUGGGCUUACUUCAUCAUCAUUGUGGUUCUGGCGCGUCUUGUCCAGUGGCCUGAUUAAUGGAUCCCACUGCCCUAGCCCCACGGCGUGUGCCUUUCCCUGUCCUCUUACUGUCGAUUGGACCUGAUUUAUUUUCAGAUCUUUGCUAACUUGAUGGGAAAACAUCACUUCACUUUUGUGUUUUAUUUUACUGAUUACGGAUAAUAUUAAAAGUUUUCACAUGCCUACUAGCUCUUUCUUGUUUCUCUAAAGUGUCUAUUUGUAUCUUCUGCCCAUUUUAUCUCCCUUAGAAUAUUUAUGGGUCUAUUUUUUUUUAAUUUCAUUAAUUCUUCGAGAAUUUCAUACAAUGUGUCUUUAUUGUAUUCACCAACCCCCCACGCCUCCCAGAUCCACACUCCAUCCCGCCCCCCA